This 286-nucleotide ribosomal RNA is filed under the name uncultured bacterium. Its description in RNAcentral is "partial 16S ribosomal RNA". It matches the Rfam family "Bacterial small subunit ribosomal RNA", at positions 54 to 369 of the family's 1533-position model. The record is from RNAcentral.
CAUGCAAGUCGAACGAGAUCUUCGGAUCUAGUGGCGCUCGGGUGCGUAACGCGUGGGAAUCUGCCCUUGGGUUCGGAAUAACUUCGGGAAACGGAUUCUAAUACCGGAUGAUGACUUCAGUCCAAAGAUUUAUCGCCGGUGGAUGAGCCCGCGUACGAUUACCUAUUGGUGAGGUAAAGGCUCACCCCCGCUACGAUCCUUAGCUGGUCUGAGAGGAUGAUCAGCCACACUGGGACUGAGACACGGCCCAGACUCCUACGGGAGGCAGCAGUGGGGAAUAUUGGAC